AGCUCUCCGAGUGGUGUGGAUGUUUAUUGGGCCUAAAGCAUCGUAGCUGGCUAGGUCAGUCCCUUGUUAAAUCCACCGAAUUAAUCGUUGGAUUGCGGGGGAUACUGCUUGGCUAGGGGACGAGAGAGGCAGACGGUAUUUUCGGGGUAGGGGUGAAAUCCUAUAAUCCCGGGAAGACCACCAGUGGCGAAGGCUGUCUGCUAGAACGCGCCCGACGGUGAGGGAUGAAAGCUGGGGGAGCGAACC
This 246-nucleotide ribosomal RNA is filed under the name uncultured crenarchaeote. Its description in RNAcentral is "partial 16S ribosomal RNA". It matches the Rfam family "Archaeal small subunit ribosomal RNA", at positions 478 to 725 of the family's 1478-position model. The record is from RNAcentral. Lineage: Archaea; Thermoproteati; Thermoproteota.